AUUGAACGCUGGCGGCAUGCCUUACACAUGCAAGUCGAACGGUAACAGGUCUUCGGAUGCUGACGAGUGGCGAACGGGUGAGUAAUACAUCGGAACGUGCCUAGUAGUGGGGGAUAACUACUCGAAAGAGUGGCUAAUACCGCAGAGAUCUACGGAUGAAAGCAGGGGAUCGCAAGACCUUGUGCUACUAGAGCGGCCGAUGGCAGAUUAGGUAGUUGGUGGGAUAAAAGCUUACCAAGCCGACGAUCUGUAGCUGGUCUGAGAGGACGAUCAGCCACACUGGGACUGAGACACGGCCAGACUCCUACGGGAGGCAGCAGUGGGGAAUUUUGGACAAUGGGCGAAAGCCUGAUCCAGCAAUGCCGCGUGCAGGAUGAAGGCCUUCGGGUUGUAAACUGCUUUUGUACGGAACGAAAAGCCCCGGGUUAAUACCCUGGGGUCAUGACGGUACCGUAAGAAUAAGCACCGGCUAACUACGUGCCAGCCGCCGCAGUAA
RNAcentral lists this ribosomal RNA (496 nucleotides) under uncultured bacterium. Its description in RNAcentral is "partial 16S ribosomal RNA". It matches the Rfam family "Bacterial small subunit ribosomal RNA", at positions 30 to 523 of the family's 1533-position model. The record is from RNAcentral.